GACGAACGCUGGCGGCGUGCUUAACACAUGCAAGUCGAACGAUGAAGCGGUGCUUGCACCGUGGAUUAGUGGCGAACGGGUGAGUAAUACGUGAGUGACCUACCUUUGACUCUGGGAUAAGCCUGGGAAACUGGGUCUAAUACCGGAUACGACCAAUCUCUGCAUGGGGUGUUGGUGGAAAGCGUUAUGGAGUGGUUUUAGAUGGGCUCACGGCCUAUCAGCUUGUUGGUGAGGUAAUGGCUUACCAAGGCGACGACGGGUAGCCGGCCUGAGAGGGUGACCGGCCACACUGGGACUGAGACACGGCCCAGACUCCUACGGGAGGCAGCAGUGGGAAAUAUUGCACAAUGGGCGCAAGCCUGAUGCAGCGACGCCGCGUGAGGGAUGACGGCCUUCGGGUUGUAAACCUCUGUUAGCAUCGAAGAAGCGAAAGUGACGGUAGGUGCAGAGAAAGCGCCGGCUAACUACGUG
RNAcentral lists this ribosomal RNA (471 nucleotides) under uncultured bacterium. RNAcentral describes it as "partial 16S ribosomal RNA". It matches the Rfam family "Bacterial small subunit ribosomal RNA", at positions 28 to 507 of the family's 1533-position model. The record is from RNAcentral.